GAUUUUAUUGGAUUUUGUGAUUUAAAACUUAUUAAAACCUCUUGAGAGCCCAAUAAUUGUUAAUGGGCCGUUUGGGAGCCCAACUAAAAUUUUAUGUGAGAUGUUUAGUUCCACAUUAGAAACCAAAAGGGUGUUUGUGAUUUUUAUAUAUUCCUUUGUUCUCAAGCUAGUUGUUUGGAAGAAAAUGAGAGUAAUGCUCUCGUUUAAAUACACACACGCACGGCACGAGCACGAGCCGGGCGGCACGUGGUUCAUACACCCGGUUUAUUUUAUUUUAUUUUUUCGAUUUUAUUUUUAUUUUAAUCCUUAUCUUUAUUUUUAUCCUUAUCCUAAUCUUUAUCCGUAUAAUCUUAGGCUUAUCUUGUUCUACACGGAUUUGACGCGUUGAAACAAGAUUCUCGCCUAGGUUAUAAAUAUGGGGCAAGGUUGCACGAGUUAAUUAAUAACCCGAGCAUACUUAAAGCCUCUUGUCUUUUUCUGCUUUCUGGAUUUUCGCCGAGUUUUCUUUUGCUGGAUCUAAAGCUGGUUGGGUUCAUCUUGCGCCACCUUGAAAGCGUGCCGACGGGGUAGAACGUGAUCGUUGUAUCGCUAGGAGUAAUUGCCGGGAAGCCUCGCACGUAGAGGGGCAAUUUCGCUUCUAGGACAGUACUCUGCACGCCUUGAUCCACAUGCCUUAUCUAAAGCUUUUGUUUAUAGUAUUUGUUAUUUAAUUUCUUUCGUGGAAUAUUUUCGAAACUUGUAAUUUAAAUUUUCGAAUUGGUUUUUAAAGAAUAUUGUAAUAAAAGAUCAGAAAAAAUUUUCCAACACCUUUCCAAUAUAAUAUUCUUUUUUAUAGGAAACAACAGU
RNAcentral lists this long non-coding RNA (846 nucleotides) under Ananas comosus (pineapple). RNAcentral describes it as "long non-coding RNA (ACOM_LNC004928)". The record is from RNAcentral. Lineage: Eukaryota; Viridiplantae; Streptophyta; Magnoliopsida; Poales; Bromeliaceae.